UAUUCAUUUACUUUAGUGAAUUGAAUAAUUGAAUAAAGAGUUCUUAGUGGGCCAUUUUUGGUAAGCAGAACUGGCGAUGUGGGAUGAACCAGACGUUGAGAUAAAGUGCCAAAGAUUUCGCUCAUCAGACACCAUAAAAGGUGUUAAUUCAUAUCGACAGUAGGACGGUGGCCAUGGAAGUCGGAAUCCGCUAAGGAGUGUGUAACAACUCACCUACCGAAUGAAUUAGCCCUGAAAAUGGAUGGCGCUUAAGCGAUACACUUAUACUCAACCCAUAAAAAAUUUAGUGCAGUUUUAUGGAGUAGGAGGGCGUAAAGAUUGAUUAGAAGCUUUACUGUGAAGUAUAGUGAAUCUUUCUUUAGUUGCAGAUCUUGGUGGUAGUAGCAAAUAUUCAAUAGAGAACAUUGAAGACUGAAGUGGAG
RNAcentral lists this ribosomal RNA (422 nucleotides) under uncultured eukaryote. RNAcentral describes it as "eukaryotic LSU rRNA". It matches the Rfam family "Eukaryotic large subunit ribosomal RNA", at positions 1079 to 1501 of the family's 3401-position model. The record is from RNAcentral.